This 479-nucleotide ribosomal RNA is filed under the name uncultured Alphaproteobacteria bacterium. Its description in RNAcentral is "bacterial SSU rRNA". It matches the Rfam family "Bacterial small subunit ribosomal RNA", at positions 386 to 884 of the family's 1533-position model. Lineage: Bacteria; Pseudomonadati; Pseudomonadota; Alphaproteobacteria. The record is from RNAcentral.
AUCUAGCAUGCCGCGUGUGUGAUGAAGGUCUUAGGAUCGUAAAGCACUUUCGCCAGGGAUGAUAAUGACAGUACCUGGUAAAGAAACCCCGGCUAACUCCGUGCCAGCAGCCGCGGUAAUACGGAGGGGGUUAGCGUUGUUCGGAAUUACUGGGCGUAAAGCGUACGUAGGCGGAUUGGAAAGUUGGGGGUGAAAUCCCAGGGCUCAACCCUGGAACUGCCUCCAAAACUAUCAGUCUAGAGUUCGAGAGAGGUGAGUGGAAUUCCAAGUGUAGAGGUGAAAUUCGUAGAUAUUUGGAGGAACACCAGUGGCGAAGGCGGCUCACUGGCUCGAUACUGACGCUGAGGUACGAAAGUGUGGGGAGCAAACAGGAUUAGAUACCCUGGUAGUCCACACCGUAAACGAUGAAUGCCAGUCGUCGGGCAGUAUACUGUUCGGUGACACACCUAACGGAUUAAGCAUUCCGCCUGGGGAGUACG